Oncorhynchus kisutch (coho salmon) is the source of this 101-nucleotide long non-coding RNA. RefSeq lists it as uncharacterized. The transcript is spliced from 2 exons. Lineage: Eukaryota; Metazoa; Chordata; Actinopteri; Salmoniformes; Salmonidae. The record is from RefSeq and is a predicted model, not a curated record.
UACAAUACCAAAUAACAUUUGAAAAGCUUGUGUCACUACAAGGUUGAACAUUUAUCACAUUGGGUCUCCAUGGUAUUGUUAUUAGAUGUGCUUGACCUCCA